UGGGGAAUCUUGCACAAUGGGCGGAAGCCUGAUGCAGCGACGCCGCGUGGGGGAUGACGGCCUUCGGGUUGUAAACUCCUUUCGCCAGGGACGAAGCCGUGAGGUGACGGUACCUGGAUAAGAAGCACCGGCUAACUACGUGCCAGCAGCCGCGGUAAUACGUAGGGUGCGAGCGUUGUCCGGAAUUACUGGGCGUAAAGAGCUCGUAGGUGGUUUGUCGCGUCGUCUGUGAAAUUCCGGGGCUUAACUCCGGGCGUGCAGGCGAUACGGGCAUAACUUGAGUGCUGUAGGGGAGACUGGAAUUCCUGGUGUAGCGGUGAAAUGCGCAGAUAUCAGGAGGAACACCGAUGGCGAAGGCAGGUCUCUGGGCAGUAACUGACGCUGAGGAGCGAAAGCAGGGGUAGCGAACAGG
Molecule: ribosomal RNA, 412 nt
Filed under: Actinomycetes bacterium
Lineage: Bacteria; Bacillati; Actinomycetota; Actinomycetes
Description: Actinobacteria bacterium partial 16S ribosomal RNA
Rfam family: Bacterial small subunit ribosomal RNA
Source: RNAcentral